AUUGAACGCUGGCGGCAUGCUUUACACAUGCAAGUCGAACGGCAGCGCGGGCUUCGGCCUGGCGGCGAUUGGCGAACGGGGGAGUAAUGCCUCGGGACGUGCCCAGCUGUGGGGCAGAGCCCACCGAAAGCCGGAUUAAUACCGCCUACGACCUGUGUUUGAAAGCGGGGGUCCGAAAGGCCUCGCGCUAUUGCAGCCGCCGAUGUCGGAUUAGCUAGUUGGUAGGGUAAAGGCUUACCAAGGCGACGAUCCGUAGCUGGUCUGAGAGGACGACCAGCCACACUGGAACUGAGACACGGCCCAGACUCCUACGGGAGGCAGCAGUAGGGAAUUUUGGACAAUGGGGGAAAGCCUGAUCCAGCCAUGCCGCGUGAGGGAUGAAGGCCUUCGGGUUGUAAACCGCUUUUGUUAGGGAAGAAAAACUCUGGGCUAAUACACGGGGGGCAUGACGGUACCGAAAGAGUAAGCACCGGCUAACUACGUG
RNAcentral lists this ribosomal RNA (484 nucleotides) under uncultured bacterium. Its description in RNAcentral is "partial 16S ribosomal RNA". It matches the Rfam family "Bacterial small subunit ribosomal RNA", at positions 29 to 507 of the family's 1533-position model. The record is from RNAcentral.